This 230-nucleotide ribosomal RNA is filed under the name uncultured bacterium. RNAcentral describes it as "partial 16S ribosomal RNA". It matches the Rfam family "Bacterial small subunit ribosomal RNA", at positions 19 to 240 of the family's 1533-position model. The record is from RNAcentral.
UCGGCUCAGGAUGAACGCUAGCUACAGGCUUAACACAUGCAAGUCGAGGGGCAGCAUGGUCUUAGCUUGCUAAGGCCGAUGGCGACCGGCGCACGGGUGAGUAACACGUAUCCAACCUGCCGUCUACUCUUGGACAGCCUUCUGAAAGGAAGAUUAAUACAAGAUGGCAUCAUGAGUCCGCAUGUUCACAUGAUUAAAGGUAUUCCGGUAGACGAUGGGGAUGCGUUCCA